Molecule: ribosomal RNA, 257 nt
Filed under: uncultured Glomeromycotina
Lineage: Eukaryota; Fungi; Glomeromycota
Description: partial 18S ribosomal RNA
Rfam family: Eukaryotic small subunit ribosomal RNA
Source: RNAcentral
AAGCUCGUAGUUGAAUUUCGGGAUCAGUAUGUUGGUCGUGCUUCGGUACGUACUGUCAUUACUGGUUUCUCCUUUCUGAAGAACCUUGAUGUCAUUAAUUUGGUGUCUUGGGGAAUCAGGACUGUUACUUUGAAAAAAUUAGAGUGUUUAAAGCAGGCAUACGCUUGAAUACAUUAGCAUGGAAUAAUGAAAUAGGACGUUUGAUUCUAUUUUGUUGGUUUCUAGGAUCGACGUAAUGAUUAAUAGGGAUAGUUGGG